AUGAAGUAGAAUUUUUGUACAAAAUAUUAUUAUUAUGAAAUUUUUGGAAAAGGGGUGCGACCCCGCCCACUUAUGGUGAAAUACUGUAUCUUAGUAGCUGCUUUAAAAUCCUUACCAAACUCUGUACGAGCCUUGCUUAGGAAGCAACUAAGAAAUUUGCUGAAAAUCAUUGAAAUUGGGCAAUAAAUAGCCACGCCCACCGCCCAUAUAACGGUAAUUUACAGAGGCAUGAAAACUGAAGCUAAUUGACUCAAAAUCGAUUAUUGAAAUUACCACUGAGAAAAAAAUUAGACUAUUAUAAAUUGUUGGAUUUUACGCGUGGCGCCGCCCACUUAUGACCACAAAUGUGUAUCUCGGUAACCGAUUUGUCAACUAUUACCAAACCUUGGUACGAAAAAGCAAUUCAUUGAAAAUAAUGCAAAUCCGAUUAAAUUGGCCCGGUUUCCCGUAUAACGGUAAUUUUCGGAUAUACGAAAACUCCUAUAUUUCAAUAAAUGACGUCGUUAAUUUACUCCAAGUUAAUACUUACAACAAUCUUUUAACAAUAAAUAAGACUGUUUUAUACUUUUAGGUAGUUUAACGAAAGUUGGAACGACAAUAGUUGAUAACUGCGUCGUGUAUAUAAAAUUCGGUUUCGACCGAACUUAUCUUCACUUGUUGGUAUGCAGAUUUAUAGCUUAUUAAAUGCUGGCAUAAUAAGUUUGAACGAGUACUUUCAAUUCAUUCAUUUAGUAUUCUGGCUCGGAAUCGUAAACAGCUAACAACAUAUAUAUAUAAGUACGGCAUUCUGAGAGUACAUUGAUCGACCAACAGCGGCCUGACCCUGUUUAGGUCCGUGAAUAUCUAAAACGUUGUUCGUCGAUGGGAAAAUAUCUCCUCCGCAUUCUUCCUCUUAGGGAUAGCAUAAUGUCAAACACACUCAAACUCGAUUUCAGUUAGGCGUUUUACCUGCAAAGGAUGGAGUCAUCUUAGAGCCUGCUCAAGCCUUAGAACUCACCGACAAUGGACCACGUUAUUUGUGACCUCGUGCUGUUCUAACCAAACAAAUAACAUGGCUGCCUCAGUGACGCACAACACACAUAACGCACCGGUCCUACCAAAUACCCAGACUGCCCCAAUGGACGACCGAAGGUCAACUGAGCGACGCAACCACAACAUGACCACCUUACAACAUAACACAACCACAAACCCACCUACACGCUGCGGCAACUCACGAGCGAGGACAAACCAACAGCGCCUAGUUUCUCAGACUUUAAGUUAGGUGUGUCGGUCCAGGAUAUACCGUAAUGCGAUAUCAGUCAGAUGCAAUUCCUGUUUUGGCUGGCGCCACUUGAGAAGGAACGAGCAACAACUUCCUUGUUGCAGUGCUGCACAAGCACUUCUGCGGUGCAGCCUACUACCACCACAAGGCGUGCUGCCAACAGCAUCAUACGGAACAAAUGUCCGGCAGGCAAUACCAUACCUCACUAACACCCCAUAUUGCGAUCAGUGUCCCAAGGCAUAAGAAAAUAUUACAAUUCAACUGUAAUGGACUCCUGAAUAAAAUCGAUACUCGAAUACUGAUAGUUGCGGUCCAAGAGACGAAGCUGCAUAGGAAUUCAACGUGGUUCAACUGUGCCAGAUAUAACCUGCGCCAUAAACACUAAGAUAACUCGAGGUCUUAACCAGAACCACCCUUGUGAGGACAGUCUUAGUAGCAUUGGAUAUGUCAUAGACGUUUGACAGAGUCUUCCUCUCCAUUCUA
Molecule: long non-coding RNA, 1744 nt
Organism: Rhagoletis pomonella (apple maggot)
Lineage: Eukaryota; Metazoa; Arthropoda; Insecta; Diptera; Tephritidae
Exons: 2
Source: RefSeq, a predicted model, not a curated record